This 161-nucleotide ribosomal RNA is filed under the name Irania umbellata. Its description in RNAcentral is "5.8S ribosomal RNA". It matches the Rfam family "5.8S ribosomal RNA". From Rfam's summary of the family: 5.8S ribosomal RNA (5.8S rRNA) is a component of the large subunit of the eukaryotic ribosome. It is transcribed by RNA polymerase I as part of the 45S precursor that also contains 18S and 28S rRNA. Lineage: Eukaryota; Viridiplantae; Streptophyta; Magnoliopsida; Brassicales; Brassicaceae. The record is from RNAcentral.
AAACGACUCUCGGCAACGGAUAUCUCGGCUCUUGCAUCGAUGAAGAACGUAGCGAAAUGCGAUACUUGGUGUGAAUUGCAGAAUCCCGUGAACCAUCGAGUCUUUGAACGCAAGUUGCGCCCCACGCCUUCUGGCCGAGGGCACGUCUGCCUGGGUGUCAC